This 395-nucleotide ribosomal RNA is filed under the name uncultured bacterium. RNAcentral describes it as "partial 16S ribosomal RNA". It matches the Rfam family "Bacterial small subunit ribosomal RNA", at positions 523 to 918 of the family's 1533-position model. The record is from RNAcentral.
AUACGUAGGGUGCGAGCGUUAAUCGGAAUUACUGGGCGUAAAGCGUGCGCAGGCGGGUUUGUAAGACAGUGGUGAAAUCCCCGGGCUCAACCUGGGAACUGCCAUUGUGACUGCAAGGCUGGAGGGCGGCAGAGGGGGAUGGAAUUCCGCGUGUAGCAGUGGAAAGCGUAGAUAUGCGGAGGAACACCGAUGGCGAAGGCAAUCCCCUGGGCCUGCACUGACGCUCAUGCACGAAAGCGUGGGGAGCAAACAGGAUUAGAUACCCUGGUAGUCCACGCCCUAAACGAUGUCAACUGGUUGUUGGGAAUUUAUUUUCUCAGUAACGAAGCUAACGCGUGAAGUUGACCGCCUGGGGAGUACGGCCGCAAGGUUAAAACUCAAAUGAAUUGACGGGG